GUUUCAUUUUUGCCCCAAAGAUUGRGCUUGCUCUUCUUGGUCACGACCCUUGGUUCCURUGUUGCCUUCCCCNNUGUAUGGAAAACUUCGUCAGACAGCCCCGCACCUGUCCUCCUUGUGGCUUUGCGGCUGCAAUGUGGACCUCGAAAGCAGUCCCCACGUCCCGGACAUAUCCACUGACUCUUUGUUGUGGCUGUCUCGGUCCGCAGGACAACUGCUCGUGCUCCCGGAUKUGGAAAAUUAAGCGGACGUCGGGGGGGGGUCUCGGCCUCCUGUUGCUCCAAUCAAGUCCCUCGAUAAGAAUGACUCUUGCUACCCCAUUGACCGCAGGCCGUCCAGGCCCGUGGCAUCGAUGUGGGUCCGAAGUCGAGAAAGAAU
This 378-nucleotide unclassified non-coding RNA is filed under the name Ficus sinuata. RNAcentral's name for it is "partial contains external transcribed spacer and 18S ribosomal RNA". Lineage: Eukaryota; Viridiplantae; Streptophyta; Magnoliopsida; Rosales; Moraceae. The record is from RNAcentral.